CGAGCAUGAUGCCCCUCGAGUGGGCAUGCCGUUCGGGGCUUGCCCUUGACGGGGUGCCUGCGCCAACGGUUGGUCGCAACGACAACCGGGCCGAAUUGAAGUUGUGGCCACACAACGUCAUUUAGGCAUGUUGCAUGGCUUUGUAUGUUCGAUUCAUGUCGGGUUGGCUUAAAACCCGCACGAUGUGCUUUGAAUGCGACGCACGCUGGCCAAUGAAUUGGGUGUUGUGAGCCUUGCGCAACGCUACUGAGGCCAAAUUUCUCGCUGAUCCUCGAUCAAGGCAUGUUGAGUUAUCUAGCCUAGCUAGUGACAAGAUGUGCUAAGAACGUGGUGCUGCGGGCCAAGGCAAGCUGACGUGCAACCUGUUGAUCGAUGUCUGAAGUGUGCUUGGUUGCCCAAGCUUGGCUAGCGCUCAAAACGUUAGUACGAUAUAGAUUAAUAGGUCUGCAUCGAGGCAUGUGGGUUUCAUUUUUUUCUUUGUUACUUUCGCAUCGUUCGGUGCAUUUUGAGGGCUGUUUUGGCUUUUGGUGGCUUGCUUGGCCUUUUGGUCGGGUGGGUCGCUAUUAGUCGGGGCGGCUUUCGGGAAUGUCGACCGGGAAGGUGCAUGAGUGGUGUUUGGUUUGUUACGGGUGGUUGGCUGUUUGCUUGCGCAACAACGUCCACGCGGCAUACCUCUUCAGUUUUGCGGCAAGACUUGGUUUGUCUUGAGCAUAUUGUGGGUUUCCUGUGUUGCAUACCUAACCGAUGGUAACGUGCGGGUUUCAUGAUGUCCUUUUUCGUCAUGCGUCGCUCAUGCGGCGUGGGAUGAACAUGGAAGCGGCCUUUGUGAUCCACCUUGUUGUUGCAUUUGCAACGAUGAUGUGGCCUAUGAAGAAUUGCUUGGUUUCUUGUAUACGGUACCUAAUGUGGGCAUGGGUCAUAUAAGAUCCUCAAUCUGCCCUCGUUAAGCGUUCUCGCUUCUCUAAAACGAUUGUCUGCCAUGUCUUGGCUUGUCCUUGCAUGGUGGGCUACGUCGA
RNAcentral lists this unclassified non-coding RNA (1016 nucleotides) under Rhaponticoides fraylensis. RNAcentral's name for it is "partial external transcribed spacer". The record is from RNAcentral. Lineage: Eukaryota; Viridiplantae; Streptophyta; Magnoliopsida; Asterales; Asteraceae.